GAUGAACGCUGGCGGCGUGCCUAAUACAUGCAAGUAGAACGCUGAAGGAGGAGCUUGCUCUUCUGGAUGAGUUGCGAACGGGUGAGUAACGCGUAGGUAACCUGCCUGGUAGCGGGGGAUAACUAUUGGAAACGAUAGCUAAUACCGCAUGACAACAGUUAUUGCAUGAUAACUGUUUAAAAGGGGCAACUGCUCCACUACCAGAUGGACCUGCGUUGUAUUAGCUAGUUGGUGAGGUAACGGCUCACCAAGGCGACGAUACAUAGCCGACCUGAGAGGGUGAUCGGCCACACUGGGACUGAGACACGGCCCAGACUCCUACGGGAGGCAGCAGUAGGGAAUCUUCGGCAAUGGACGGAAGUCUGACCGAGCAACGCCGCGUGAGUGAAGAAGGGUUUCGAAUCGUAAAGCUCUGUUGUAAGAGAAGAACGAGUGUGAGAGUGGAAAGUUCACACUGUGACGGUAUCUUACCAGAAAGGGACGGCUAACUACGUG
This 495-nucleotide ribosomal RNA is filed under the name uncultured bacterium. RNAcentral's name for it is "partial 16S ribosomal RNA". It matches the Rfam family "Bacterial small subunit ribosomal RNA", at positions 28 to 507 of the family's 1533-position model. The record is from RNAcentral.